UAGCAGCAGGUGUUCUCUUCUCCUUUGCACUGUUAAGUGGCGGUGAACAAUGGUGAUUUGAGUCUGAGACGAUUUAGUUGCCAUUUACACGUAGUUGUAUUGCCCUAUGGCAGCGAUUAAAGUGGUCAUUUAAGAAGACACUAAGCAAGUUGUGCAGCAAACAUAGCAGUCAGCUGGGGCUUGAUUUUUGGAAGGUGUGAAAACGGCACAGGAGACGUUUUACAGGUGGAAGCACAUGUCUGUGUUUCUUCAGAAACACCUGCUUUUAUAGGUCAAAGACAAAGAAGGCCUGUUAGAGACCCUCUAACAAGCACAAGAAGGUUUUUCUGGUUAAAAAAAACUGACCAGAAAAACAUUCAGACUCGGUGGUCAUAAGACCAAGCCUUACGCCAGGUCAGAGACAGAGCGCGAUGCGUGUGGAGAACUUGGCACAACCUGAAUAACACUGGACAAACACCAGCACAGAACCCCUCUGCAUGAUGAGGACGAUGACGAGCCCAUGACAUUUCUGGAAUAUUUACGCCGUAUAGAGCAGGAAGAAGACAAAAAACAAGCAACUACAAUCCAGGCUGUGUGUGAUAGUGGAGAGCUAGACCCCCUUUUUUUUUUUUUUUUUUCCUUUUUUCCAACAACUGGUCACCUCAGGGUGAGUGUGUGCCUGGUGAUUUUAUCAAUGUUUUUGAGCACAGUGUAUCAGACUUUAAUCUCCUACCUACCAUACCCAGGUGCAUGAGUAUUGAUGAUGAUGCACGCAUAGAUUUUUGAAGGUUAUAUAACAGAUUCUCAACUAGCAGAGUUUUACGAUGCCUUCAUCAAUACCACUAGUGCUCCGCUUUCUGACCAGAGUUCUAGCGACCCAACAGCCGAUAACGUGAUAGAAGCUAAACUUAACAACAACAACAACAACCACAACCACAACAACAACCACAACCAACACAUGAAUACUUACAAGAGAUAGCUGGAGCUCUAACUAAGGUUAACGUGGCAAUAAACAAAAUGUGCUGUCUAUUAGAUAAUAUCUGUACCAGGAUUUUUAAUGUUUGACUUUUAAAGCCCUAGCCAUGGACCCUCUUAAUAAGUUAUUCAAACACAGUAAUGGUACCGCUAAGCCUGUUACAUGGUUUGACUCUGAGGUAUUUAAUCAGAGGACUGAAGAAAUGAUAACGAAAUGUGAUAUUUUGCACAGAAGACUGAAUAGUAUGUGUAUCUGAGAACGCAACCCGUGCCACACCAUCUGAUGCCGCUCCUGCGGCUUCUGCUGCUCCUGCACACAUCACAGUACAUCCCCAUUCCUCUAAUGUGAUCACUAUUCCUCCUCAUGAGCCCUCCAACACUGACAAUGUGUUAGGUGUUAAUCCUUCACAGACAAGAGCUCCCCUUACAAACCCACACGGGUUUGGUAAACAUAGUCAUAUCUGCUUCUAAUGCAAAAGAAUUGCGUGAGCGUAUUGUUUUUAGAGACAUAAGCGUGGAUAUUCCAGACCAGGUACCAGCGAGGGUAAGAGAUUGCGUAGCCAAUGUCAUAGAUAGGGCAGUGUCCGGCUCUCAGCCGGGCAAAUGUUGUUUUGAGAGGCCCUUCCCUGGCUUCUGAUGUACAGACUGUUUUAAAUGCUGAAGAUGAGUACGAUGCAGAUCUGUGUUUUGAUGAAAUGGCACAGGUCAUGCAGAGUAAUGAUGGUUCUAUAGGUGAUGACGAAUUAGUUUAUUGUCAUAGUAGCGCAGAACAGUAACGGUGGUGCCCGUUUAAGACUGGCACGCACACCAUAUGACAACAUACUGUCAAAGAAAGGUAAAGAUUUGUACAUAGCAAACAAUGCCCCCAACAACUUGUGCUAUGCAAAAGGCAUUACAGGCACCCAAAAUUUCGUGGGUACACGUUCAUAGCACAUAACGCACCUGGCUUUGAUAACUACAUACUUCUGGAGUACUUUGUUAAGCAGGGCAUAACACCCAGUAUCACAAUGAGAGGGAGCUGUGUGAUUUUGAUGUAUGACAUGGAUUAUGACCAGUGAUGGAUCGAGUCAUUCGGCUUUUUGCCCAUGGGACUUGCUAAAAUACCCGUCGCUUUAGGUUUUGAAGACCUGGAGAAGGGUCACUUCAACAAAAAAUUUAAUACAAGAGGUAAUGAGUAUUAUGUGGGACCAUACCCAGACCCCUCCUUCUACGGCUAUGACAGGAUGUCUGAAAGUGGUGAGAUUUAUGGAAUGGUACCAGACCGUCUCCCUCUGAUUUUUCCAUGCUGAAUUGAGGCGUUACUGUGUUAACGAUGUUGAUGACAUGCUUGCUCUUAUGUAUGAUGGUGCAUAUGUUGACCAGAAUAAGAUGUUUUCUAACUUCUCUAUUGAAUGGCUUCAAUAUGUAGCCCACACUACCAACACAGUGGUAAAACACGUGCUCCGAGGAGCCGAACAGAGAGUUGGUCCGUAUUUUGUGGAUGGUUUUGACCUCACAAACAAUAUGGCUUAUGAAUUUGCAGGGUGUUUUCACCAUGGGUGUGUUAAAUGCUACCCCGAGAGUGAGGUUAACCCUGUCAGCAAGGCAUCCUACGGACUGCUGCAUCACGCGUUUUGUGAUAAAGUGAAUGCGUUGAGAUCACAACACAGUGAUGUGGGAGAGUGAAUGGGAGGCAUUGAAGUAGACAGCCCCCGCAGUUAUGACAUUCAUGCGCACAUACAGAAAGCCAGAACACCUGAACCCUCGAGACGCCCUCUUUGGAGAGUGCACCAACACCAUGAAACUGUACCACAAGACUACUUGUGAUGGAAAAAAUACUUUACUAUGACUUUACCAGCCUCUAUCCCACAGUGCAGUCUAAAAAAGAUUAUCCUGUCAGGCACCCGCACAUCAUUUACAACAACUUUGACAGGCUGGAAAAUUAUUUCAGCUUUGUUAAAUGCUCAGUACUCCACCUAGAGGUCUGUUUCACCCAGUCCUUUCCUACAGAUGCCACAACAAACUGAUGUUCCCACUCUGUAGCAUGUGUUCUGAAAAGGGGAACCAGCAGACAGCAUGCCUGCACACUGGCACUGAGAGGAUGUUGGCAGGCACCUGGUUGUCAUUUGAGCUUGAAAAAGCACUUGAGAAAGGAUACAGGAUUGUUUCUAUUGAGGUGCAGCAUUUUCUCAAUAAGAGAGAUACAUUGUUUAAAGCCUUCUUAAAAAAUUAAACAGGAGGCUUCAGGCUAUCCAGAACAUAUUAAAACCCCUGAUGACCAGCAGACUCGACCAAGAGAUGUGUAACUAAAGCUGUUAGAAACUGUAACAAACUUCUGCUAAACUCGUUAUGGGUGCGUUUCAGCAUGAGUGCAAACAUUCAUCUGAGUUAAUCACGGACCCUUCUAGAUUCAGCCAGUUAAUGUUUAGUGACCAGUAUGACAUGCGUCAGUUUAGUUUCAUCUCUGAUGUUGCCAUAGUGCAGUGGUGCCAAGCUGGUGGUAGAGCAGCCCGUGUGAAGGAUGUUAAUGUCUUUGUGGAUGCCAUGACCACUGCACAUGCUAGACUGAUGCUGUAUGAUUUGCUAUACAAGCUACAGCAGCGCGUGUUGUAUUAUGACACGGGCAGUGUCAUUUUCACAGCACCCCCUGGCGACUGGAUGCCGCCUCUAGGACCUUUCCUCAGGGAUCUCACAGGUGAACUAGAUUCUGGAGAGGGGGGUGCGGAUUUAGUCGAUAGUCGAAUUUGUGUCCGCGGGGCCAAAAUGCUAUGCAUAUCACACCUUGCAGGUCAAGACACACAGGUUAAAUGUAAAGGUGUAAAACUCAAUGUGCUAAACUCAAAAGUUGUCACCCACGACUCCUUGAAAGGAUUAGUCCAUGUGUUUGUAGCCAAUCAGACAUCAUACACACACCUAGUAGCUGUAUCUGAUACUAUCAGACGUGAUAAAAAGAUCUUUCAUUUGAAGAGUGAAACCAUUGUGAGGAACGUCAAAGCGGUCUACAACAAGCUCCGUGUGUUCCCAGACUAUACAACUCGCCCUUAUGGAUAUUAAAUCAGAUUAAGGGUUUGAUGGCAGACUGCAGCACCUUUUUAGCAUGGUCGUCAGUGGCCCCAGUAACUGCAGAAAGACUUUUUGACCAAAAAAAAACGUUGUUGAAAAUGCUUCCAGGAUUAUUUCACAUAGUAUUGAUAGCAUUGUGUAUAUACAUAUGUAUGUGUAUACUCAUGCUGGCAGCCGCUAUAUAACCAUUUUCUUCAGAUAAGAGACAUUAACUUUGUGGUAUGCCUACCUACAGACAAGAACAAUUUGCUUAUUAUAGAUAAUUUAAUGAAUGAUGCCGCUAAUAAUGUAAAAGUACAAAAUGUGUUCAUGAAAUAUGUGCAUCAUAGGAAUUUGAGUUGUAUAUAUCUAGUUCAGAAUUUGUUUUAUUCAAGGAAAAUCCAGUAGAACCAUUUCCUUGAACACUAACUUACCUAAUUUUGUUUAACCCUAGAGAUAAAUAGAACCAAUUUACUGUCAGACCAUCCUGUUGCUUAUCCCAAAGCAAAAAACACUGAAGAGGUGAAAGGAUGGCAUUGCGCAUGCAGGGGAAUCCAUCUCUGUUUGCACUUUAUAUACAAGUCACCCCCUAGCCUGCGCAGACUUAUUAUUAGUAAUGCAAACAUAGAUUUCAUUAAUGCAUUGUGAGAUAGCCUUUAACGUACUGCAAGGCAGAUCAUUAGUACAAACAACCAAAAAAGGGGAAAAAACAAUCAGACUGAUCGCUGACAAAAAGAUCAAAACUUUGAAAACCCUUUCGUAACCUGUCUGAUUGUGAA
Molecule: long non-coding RNA, 4754 nt
Organism: Oreochromis niloticus (Nile tilapia)
Lineage: Eukaryota; Metazoa; Chordata; Actinopteri; Cichliformes; Cichlidae
Exons: 7
Source: RefSeq, a predicted model, not a curated record